CGAAUAUAAGAACCCGUAUCUUAACUUUUAACAAAAAAACUAAAAAUCGGUUCUUGAAUAAGAGUUUUAAGAACCGAUUAUUAACUUUUUUAGUUAAAAGUUAAGAGACGGGUUCUUAUAUUUU
Molecule: non-coding RNA, 124 nt
Organism: Brassica napus (rape)
Lineage: Eukaryota; Viridiplantae; Streptophyta; Magnoliopsida; Brassicales; Brassicaceae
Source: Rfam